RNAcentral lists this unclassified non-coding RNA (361 nucleotides) under Hevea brasiliensis (rubber tree). The record is from RNAcentral. Lineage: Eukaryota; Viridiplantae; Streptophyta; Magnoliopsida; Malpighiales; Euphorbiaceae.
AUCAAAGGAUAUGCGUAUGACAAGGGCUUCACAUAAUUCUCUUAAAUAUAUCAUCAUUAUUGUAGAUGAACAUAGGGGAAAAAAAGAAACUGAUCAAAACACUCGGAUAUUCAUCUUGAAUAAUCUUGCUUAGUAGAGGGUAUUCAAGCAUCAAAAUGUUGACGAACCUCACCUAGAUUUCCGAAGUACAAAAUGUCGAUACCCAUCUACAAGUAACUAGUUUUGAGCCCCUUGAUCCAAAUGCUGCAUUCCAUCAAUUCUUCCUCCCUUCACAUAAGAUUAUGUGAUAUCCAUGAGUUGAUUUAAAUGGCGCACUGGUAGCUCCAACAGCCGUGCUGAAGGCAACUUCCUGGAAUGGACC